AAGAAAUACAGACUCUUUCAUCCUUGGGAAAAAUAGUGACUGCAUGAGUGGGAAAAACACAGGAAACUGGAUUGUUAUGGGGAUUAUGGAGCCUACUUUCUUUACAGAAAGACAGAGCACAAUUCAAACCAUAAGACACUAUUCAUUGCAGGCAUUUGCUCAACACCUCAGAAGGGAGCAAAGCACAGACAGAUCUGUGUUAAAGUGCUUUUCCACUGCUUUUCUAUUUCUGCUGCCAUAAAUAGUCAUCUUCCAGAGAGGACUCUACAUCAAAGCUAAUGAAGUGCUGUGCCUGGUUGUGUGUGUUAAGAAGCUCCUAGUAUGGACAUUCCAACUUUUCUUUGAGUAGCUCAUUGCAGUACUGUAAUGCUGUCCCAUGGAGAAUUUUUUCCAGUCUCAAGUCUGAACCUCUUAAAACUUAAACUGUGGUUGGCAUCUUUAUUCUAUAACCUUCCACUACACAAGGGAGUUCAGCUCCAUUGUCUAUGUAACUUCUCUAAGUCAUUGUGGUCAGAAAGCAUUUUGGAAAUCAGAAUGAACAGAUGAUUUCUUCUCUCUGGAACAGCAAAUGAAAAUGUCCCUUGCAGGUCCUUGUGCCUCUUCUCUGAGAGGGUCUGCUUCAUCUAUAUUAUGAACAUAGUAGCAAAAAUAGAUGAGGUGAAAUAUCCUGCUGUAUGAUCCCAGGAACAAGAUUUAAAAAUGCAAAAUUAUGAUGGAUUUUUGCUUCCUGCCUUAUGUAUCCAAAAUGCAUUUUCAGACUAAGGACUGCUCUCAGUGAUGCCACCAACUCCGUCUCUACAGACUUCACAGAAGCACAAAGAUACUGUCACAUAUUGGGAUAUCAGCAGUGCACAGCAAUGCAGUAUUUGAAUCUGGGAACAAUUUUGUCUUUCAUUCGCUUUUUGGUUAUUUCUGCUUGGCAGUUAUCAUGAUUUAACCCCAGUCAGAAAAUCUGUCCAACACAACCACUCACUUAUUUGCGUGGUAGGAUGUGGGAGGGAUUUGGGAAGGUAAAACUGAGAAAACUCGUGGGUUAAGAUAAAAACUGUUUAGUAGGUAAAGCAAAAGCCAUGCAUGCAGCACUGCCCAUGGGUCGGUAGGUGUUCAACCAUUCCUGGGACAGCAGAGCUCCAUCACACAUGAAACAGUGACUUGGAAAGACAAAUGCCAUCUCCAAACAUGCCCCUUUCCUCCAUCUUCCACCAGCUUUGUAUGCUGACUGCAGUGCCCUAUAGCAUGGAGUAUCCCUUUGGUCAGUUGGGUCAGCUGUUCUGGUUGUGUUCUUUCCUAAUUUCUUGUGCACCACCAGGUCCCUCACUGGUGGGUGGGGCGAGGAGCAGAAAAAGCCUCAGCUCUUUGUGAGCCCUGCUCAACAGUAACUAAAACAUCCCUGUGUUAUCAACAGUUUUCAGCACAAAUCCAAAACACAGCUCCAUACCUGCUACUAUGGAGAAAAUCUUUCAGCCAAAACCAGCACAGGAAUGGAACAGAAUAAUAUCAGUUUCCAUUCCACCAAGCAUAAAUACAUUGACUUCAACUGCAAGAGUAUGUAAUUCUUCCGAACACUUUUUGGAAAGGGAUGCUGUUACACUGAGUGAUGAGAGAAUCCCUGCUUGAGGUGAAAGGUUCUGUGUUUUGGACAUUGCUCCGGUUGUAUAUAUGUUGUUUUUGUGUGCAUAUUUUCAAGAGAAUAAUUUUUGAGAAGGCAUAUUAAGGGCUGUAAGACAUUAUUGCAGUAGGGCCCAUAUACUGAAUAGCAACACUGUGUACUCCAGGGAGCUGUCAUGUCCUCCUUACAAACACAUUACAGUCCAUCUGCAAAUACUGGCACCUCUAAGAUGUAAGGGAACAAUUUACUCACUGAAAGGUCUAUCCAACAAACCCCUAGCUGUACACACUGCAUACAACAGACAUCCCUCUGGGGCUAGCCAUAAAUUCUGUAUCAUGUGGGCUGUGCUAUUCGUGUUUAUUCUGCUGCUCCCUCAGCCAGUCUCUCAUGUGCUCUUCACCAAACAAUGCCUGAUAUCCCUCUUCCCCACUGGAAGUAUGUUCCUGCAGAGAAAGAAAAACAUAGUGAAAAUUCAUUCACAUCAGGCUUUCUAUGACAAUAAUUAAGGCACAUGACAAAAAGCCUUUUCCUACUUCAGCUUUAAAUUUUUUUUCCAGUUUUAGUGGGAGAGAAUUCAGCAACCAUCAAGAGAAACAUACAGAACCCUUAGUGCCAAAGUGAAGUGUCUGUGUUCUCAAGGUCUUAACACUCCUGAAGAGAGAUGUGGAAUAAGUCUUCUGAAGAUGUCAGCAAGACCACAAAUAGCUUGAGAAGAAUUAAGUAAAAUUUAAAAAUAGUAGACUACAGGUGGCCUGUGGGAAGACCCCCAGUAUACAAGGAAUAUAUGUUUGGCUUAUAUAAAAAAUUCUUGCAGCUGUGUUUUCAAUAUAAGCUGAAGUCUGGGAUGUAACAAGAUUUAGUUAGAUACCAUGUAAAAUGGAAUGAUAGCAGUUACAGCAUAUCAUCUUAUGAUUAAUUUAGCAAACUUACCUGCAUUAGAAACUUUUCCCCCACUGCACUGUUAAUUCUUUACAAGUAAUGUAAGUCUAAACUUACAAUAUAGUAUCUAUAUUAUGGGAAAAGGGUCAUCUGAAAUAGAGGCAGGACCAAAUACCACAACAGAGUAAAGUGACAGUUAAUGUCAAUCAUUUGAAACAGCAUUACAAGGGCUGAAUAUAAUCAGUAUAUUUUGUACAAACUGUCAUAUAUGAUUCCUGUCUUCAGGAACAACUAAAACAAUCAAGGAUUUCAAGUCUGGCAACUGUGUGCCCUGUAUUCAUCCCCACAGGCCCCAGAAGGAUAAUUCUUAAACCUACAGACUGUCUUGUGGAGCUUUUUUGUUUUCCUGUAAGACUAUCCAAUUACUUAGUGCUGUGCUGGGAGUACCUGAGGAAAUAGUAAAAGGAAAUACAACUGAGAGCCACUGUGGUUUGAUUCCUCUCCAGAUACUUUGAAAAUAUUUUGGCAAAAACAAGAUUUUAAGUAAUACUGUAUCCUUUGGUAACAUAGAGAGGACUGCAGGUUUUACAUUUUUGCACUUAGUGUGAAGGGCCAAAAAAAAAAAAACCAACCCCUUGUGUGAGGUUGUACACAUGGUAGUAAUGUUAGUGGGGAAGAAAGAGAGGGCAAAGCAGAGGUGAAGGAGGUGGGGAAUUUGAACAAGAUGCAGAACAAAGACAAGGAGACAAGAUAAUACAAAUAUCUAUUUUCUACUGACAAAACCAACUGCACAGUGCUGCAAGAAGGAAAAUAUCUUUGGGUACUUUAGACUUCUAAUGAGUGACAGUGUGAUGGUUUGUUCAUCAAAGGAUGACUGUGAUCAAAGAGAUGAAAACCAUGAUUUCUUUUAGCUUGUUUGGUCAUCCAGUGGGGUUAAUGAGGGAGCUCCUGAACUGACAAGUGUAAGUUGUAUUUCCUUUUCUAAAAGGAGAUUCCUUGGAGUACUUAAUAAUUUUGCUCUCUGAAGUUUUUAGUAAGAAUCAAAAGAAGUGCUAUGAAAAGCUUUCUAAAUGCACUGUCCCUACUGAAUUCUCUAAAGCCACAUCCAUCCCUGGCUGCAUCCAGGGAUGGAGCCCCCGUGGGCAGCAGGGGAGGGAGGGGAUUCUGCCCCUCUGCUCUGCUCUGCUGAGACCCACCUGGAACACUGCAUCCAGCCCUGGGCUCCCAGCAUGGGAUGGACAGGGACCUGCUGGAGCCAGCACAGAGAAGGCCACUGGUGUGAUGGAGCACAUUUCUUUGAAGAAAGGCUGAGAGAGUUGGGAUUGUUCAACUGGGAGAAGAGAAGGCUUAGGGGUGACUAAGAGAAGGCUUAGAGGACAAAGGUGUGGCCUUCCAGUACUUGAUGAAACCUGCAAGAAUGAAGGAGAGGGAAUAUUUGCAUGAGUCUGGAGUGACAGGACAAGGGGGAAUGGCUUCAAACUGAGAGAGUGCGUUUAGGUUAGAUACUAGGAAGAAAUUCUUUACCCUGAGGGUGGUGAGGCCCUGGCACAGGUUGCACAGAGAAACUGUGGAUUCACUCUCCCUGGCAGUGUUCAAGGCCUGGCUGGAUGGGGCUCUGAGCAACCUGGUCUAGUAAAAUGUGUCCCUUCCCAUGAAUGAGCUUUCCAAAUCAUAAUUAUGAGGUCUGUGAAUAUUUAAAUUAAUUAUACAAAGCAAUGGUACCUUUGCCCUUCAGGGCUGGUUUCUUUCUUUAGAAUACCUUUGUGUUUGUUUGGCUGCCACUGAUUACAACAUGCCCAAAUCCAAAGUCUUGUUUCUGGGUUGUCCUGCUCUGUACACAUCACUCACAAGUGGCAUAACAAUUGGCAUUCAAGAGAACAGUGUUAAGUCAUUCUUACUAUUCAUAAGCAAAUUAGCCAGAUAAGCAUAAUGUAAACAUUUCUCUUCAUUUGUUCAUUUCCUAAUAUAACUCCUUAUCAUGGCCUUCAGACAGAUAUAUAGUUAUGUGUUUCUUUCAAUUUUUUUGAACUUAUGAGUUUUUUUUAAGGCUGAAUUGCUGUUUCUUUUCCUGUAGAAAUGUUCACCUUGUCACAAUGGGUCAAAUUCUUUCUACGUUGUAUGGAAAUGCAGUGAGUUCAUGCCUUUUCACAUCACAACUUUUCCUCAAGAGAAAAUUUUUUGUCCUGAAGCCACCUGGGAAGAGCUCAACGAAGGCAUUCUUUAAAAACAGCUUUAGGAUUGAAGUCAACUUCAAUCCUAACUGGGACUACACAAAUGCUGACUUACACUUUUUCCAGCUGUAGUGAUGUGGAAGUAUUUUAUUGUAAGUUCCCAAGCAUAUGAGGUGCUAUGAGCUUGGAAGUUGCAAAAGACAAAGCUGCAAAUCAAAAAGAAAAAAGGAAGAAGGUGUAGAUAUUGAGUGCAUGGGGAUGGUGAGGAUUGAACAGAAUUGAGUUAUUUUGGGAAGAAAGCCUCUGGAAAGGUUGUGUUAAGCAAGAGGCAUACAGAGCACACUGAUUCAAGGUUUUAAAGAAUUGUAAUGGAUCUGAGUUUUGAUACUUGAAAAGAAAGGCAAAAGGACCUAUUAAUUUAAUGAAUGCAUUUGAAAUUAUAGAUGUGAUUUCCAUUACAACAGAGUUUGGAUUGAGUUUUAUUUAACUCAACCAGUCAGAAUUUUAAAUUAAAUCUGAGCUGCUUUUCAGAGGGAGAAAAAUAAAACAAUGCAUAAUGUCCUGUAACUGGCAACUUGCCUCUUUCCUGUUCCAUACUAAAUCAUUUUUCUCAGAUGCUGAGCUUCAUUGUUCUUUGUACCUUGUUGAAUUCCUAACUUAUUACACAUUGAAAUCUAGUAUGUUUAACCAUGUCUGUGUAAGCUACUUCUAACAGUUCCUUAAUAUACCCUGUUUAUAAACAAGUCUUUCUACUGUUUUACCGUCUUCAGCUUAAGUGCUUUUUUUGGUUUGGUUUGGUUUGGUUUGGUUUGGUUUGGUUUGGUUUGGUUUGGUUUUUUUGUUCCUAGUUUGUUCAUCUGGGAAAUCUGAACAUGCUGUUAGGGACAAACUGUGUCCCCAACACAGGGAAUAUUAAGCUCAUGUAAGUGACAGUACAGUAACAUCUAGUGGGGCCAUGCCCCAGAGUGCAGUCCAGACUUUUCCUUUGGUAAUCAAUGGAAGGAAGAAGUUUUUGACAUAACUAUUCUUUGAAGGCUGCCUUAAGUGAAACUGGGUAGACAUUUUCUUUAGGUGUUUAGAAUUGGAAUCCCUGUUCUCACAACUGUCUUUCAGGACAAGGUUACAAAAUAACCUCAAACUUUGAGCUGCCAUUCUGUUUAUGAGACACUUGGGCAUGGACUAAGAGAAGUUGAUUUUGUUAACUAGUACCUGAAGGAAAAAAUAUGCCCAUUUUGUAGAGCAGUUUAGGGAACAGCCCUAGUUCAAACAGGGAAGAGUUAAUGUGUGAGAAAACAGUGUUUUCAAAAAUCUAGUACAUGUGGAUCAGUUGUUCCAUAAACUAUGAAUGUGUUCCAUUAAAGUGUUAUGCCAGGAAGCUUUAAUUUCUACACCUAAUUCUUUCACUUUCUGAAGCCAAUUUUAAAAAUGUUCAUGUAGUUUCUUCAAAAACAAAGCUUUGAUGAAGAAAUUCCCUGGAUUAUUUCUGUAGUGAUCUGUUCUAGUGGUUUGCAGCAUGCUGUGGAGAACUGAGGGAAUUCUUCCUGGAAUUCCUUGAAGAUGUGGGGUCUUUUUGUCAUUUGUGUAACUCAUCUGAAACUAAAUGAAACUUGUAGCUCUUGUAGUUUAGAUUACCUAUCUGUGAUUGUCCUAGAGGUACUUACAGUUAUCAUUUAGAGCAAUAGUCUGUGUGUCCAUUGAGGCUUCAGGUUGUGCUGGGGAUUUGGCUCCUUCUCCACAGUGGCACUAAACUUUGGAAGUGAGGUUCAUGUACUCACUGAUGUUAUAUCAGUGUGGUCACAGCACGCAGUAAGUUAUCCUCAGCACAAGGCACUAACUACAACUGUAUUCUCCAAGUUAGAGCUAAUUUACUUCCAUUAACUCUAUUUUCUUUCUAUCAUGACCUUUUUUCCUUCCUGUUCUCUUUGGUUUUGUCCCUUAUCUUUUUUAUCAAGAAGGUACGCUAUCUGGCCCAUAAUUCACCUGUUUUUAAAAACUUACAUCUUUUUAAAAACUUACAUGAAGCUCUAGGCUUACCUUCAACAUUUUGGCAAAUACCCUCAGCUGGAAACUUUUCAACCAUGGGCAAUUUCAGCAUCCUGUCUGUGGAAUCUCUUCAGCAUCAGGCAAUAUCUCAAGAUCAGUGACCUUCAACUCCUGCAGGCUGGUAGGUGUCCUCCUUGAGUAAAGAGCUGAACUCACAUUCAUUCGCACUCACAUUCACCCUCAGACCUCUUUCUAGCCUCCAGAAUGAGGAAAUUGAGGAAUGUACUAUGCCCUCUUUCUACUUAUUUUUCUGCUUAUCUUCACUGCUAACUCCUCUUUUGCUUGUGUUCAUCUUCUCUAGAGGUCUCUGCCCUCUGAGCUCUCCCAGUCACUGUCACAUGAGGAAUGACAGAAAUGAAACAUUUCAAAGAAGGUCAUGAUCGCUUUGCAGCCUCCCCAUGGGGCAUCUGCACCUCUGACAGUGAUGGGUCGCUGUUGGUCACACCUUUCCAAUCCUAAAAGAUUCCAUGACUCUGUGAUUCCAGCUGCAGGGUCCUCAAUGCAAGAAGGAUGUUAACCUGCUGGAAUUGGGUCCAGAGGAGGGUCACAAAGAUGAUGCAAAGGCUGGAACCACUCUUCCAACAAAGACAGGCUAAGAGAGUUGAAAGUAAAGAAGGCUCCAGGGAAACCUCACUAAUGCCAUCCAGUAUUUCAGGGGACUUCAAAAAAUGGAGAAUGACUUUUUCAUAAGCAGAUAUGACAAGACAAAGAAGCACAGUUUUAAAAUAAAACACAAGUUGUUUAGAUUAAAUAUUAUAAAGAAAAGGUAUUUCUGCUAUCGGUUAGUAGCAGCUUUUAGCUCAGAUGAUUUUAUUAAGGAUAAUUAGCAGUAGAAGGAAAGGCAUUUGCAUUCUGGUCAUGAUUCUGAUAUUUUUUUCUUUGAAUUAGAUAGCGCAUUGAGAUUAUGUGAAAUUCAGAGCCUCUGUUAUUGCAGGUUUUUUUUUUCUUUUGUGUCAACUCUGUUUUCCUUGUAUCAAUAGUUGGGAUGCACGUCUGAUUAAUUAGUACUUAAUCUGUUACAUUAAUUCAUAAAUACCAUGUAGACAUUCAAGAUGAAGAUGCACUGUGUCAAAUUAAUUACUGUAGUUUUACUGUAAAAAAAAAAAGAAAAAUCUUGUUUUACAUCUUAAAAUAAUCUAGAUAAACCAGAUUCUUUUAAUUUCUUUCAAAAUCAUUUGGAUGUAGACAUAGAUUAACAGGUGGCAAUGAAAUAUGCCAGGCAUCCUUUCACAUCACAGUGUUCAAAUGGGAAUUUUUCAUCAGAGGAAAGACAGAGGGAGAAGCUGACAGAGAGAUAUCUCUCGGUAACACAGGAGAGCAAUACUGAGAAUUUGGGCUUCUGAACUGAGCCUUUCCAUCCUGAUUAAUCUAUCUGAUUCGCCUUGGUGGUGCUCUUACCUCCAAAAAGCAUAAAAAGAUCAGUAAAAAUUAAUAUGAAAAUGGAAACAUUCUUCACUCCAACACUAGGUAACUUUUGUCUCCCUUUCAAAAUAACAAAAGAAACACAGAUUUUGUUACACGCAUUUAGUAGAGAAAUAUGUGAGUAAUUUCAAAAUCAAAGUGAGAACAGUCCCAGUCCUAAAGUUAAGGAAUCAUUUCCACGGUCAUCGAUAUCAACCCAGUUUUAAUUAUACCAAGAAACGUGUUGGAAUCUCUUGCAGUCUUCAGAGCACAAACAUGAAGUAGUGAAUGGUCAAGCACCUUCUUGAUAGAUAACACUUCACUGCUACAACGAGUUAUAUGAAAAAAAUGUUAUUUUUUUUGUGAAUUUUAAUGAGUAGCAGAAAAUGGAGGCUAGUAACUGAGUUAAUGGGCUGUGUGUCUAUGAAAUAGUAAUGCUGUCAUGGCUUGAAACUUAUUUGCUCUGACUCAGGCUGGAAAGGAAGUUCUUCAGACUAGGUACAGAUUUAUUUUAAGGGGUGGCACCUUGGUUAAUCUGAGUCAUGUUCACUUAGUUGCUGGAUAGAAUCUUGUUAUGAAAAAAACCUGAUUUUUCUUUUGAUGAAAUAAUAUUAAUUUGGGUUUCCCAUGUUUACAGCAGAGGAUAUCAAAAAUUGAACUGACAAGUGGAACACUCUGUCCACAACCCUUAAUGUGCAUUGAGUGUCAACAACCUUUGCUGGAAGACACUUCUCCCACCACUGCUCCCUGUCCUAUCUUAUUUGCUUUUCAUCUUAAGUCCAAAUGAGAGAUACAGUAUUAUCUCUAUGAUGUGCACAGGAAUUAGGACACACACUAACAUGUCCCAGAGUCUUGCUUUAUUGAUUAACUUCAUUAUUUUCAUUCUCUGCCUAUUUUGAAUUAUGAUAGUCUCAAGACAAGUCAAAACAAAAUGCAAAUCAAGGCCCCACACAUGGUAGACAAAAUAGCCAGCAUAGUUAGAAGUGCUUUUAAGGACACAGCUGAAGAAAUGGAAGAAAAUCUGUAGCUGACCUACAAAGAAAGGCCUCUCCUUCUUGCAUCUGUCUGGCUGGUACCUUCCAUAGAGGCAGAAUAUAGAGUUUCAGGCAGUGAACAUGCAUUCCCUCUCCCUAUUAUGGAAUAUGCUCAGGUUUCCAGCUGAUCGUGCCUUUGCAGUUUACUACCUCUACAAAUGUUUAAUCUUUCUCUCUAAAAUUCAUCCUUCUCCCUCAGUAAGAGAUAGUGUGACAAAUAUCCUAAAGGUGUCUUUCACUGUGACAAAUACUUUCUAUUUGUAUAUGAGAAAUGUGCAUCGUGUAGUCAUUUAAAAAGGUCAAUUGUGAACUGUACCAACUCCCAAAUCACAGGUCUAUUAGCCAAAAUCACAAUACCCAAACACCUCACCUCCAAAGUAAAUUAAGUUUUAUGCCCAUGUACUAUCACCCACAGUCCACAGCUCCACUUCCUUUACAAGGGAGAACUCUUGGUUACUGUAAAAUCCCAGAAGUACCUAAAAGUCUGAAAUGCUUUUUAAACAUAUGUUUAAAAAGAGGAUUAUGUUGGUACUUUACCUGCAGGAUUCAAAGAAAAUUAAGGUCUCUGAUGAAACAUUUUUAAAAACAUAGUGAUUAUUCUGCCAUAUCAACACUGUAGAAAAAUCUAUACCCUUAUUUUUUGGAAGAGUUAUUUUAAAUCUCAAAAGAUAAAUACUAUUGCCAAAAUUUGGAAUAAAAUGUUUUAACUCUUUUUGUUUUCCAGUCUCAGUAUACAAAUGCUCCAUUUUUCUCUCUCAUGUUAUCAAUUUAAACUAUAAUUUACUUAUUGGAUUUUGAUUCAUCUUUAUCUAUUUAUCAUUUUUCAAGGAAGAUUAGCUCAGAGCAUUAACUUGAUAAGCCAUUUCCUAUUUCAGUUGAGAUGGGUUGUAAAUAGGGAUAAACUAUGUAAGAAUUACCAUGCUAUCAUGUCUGGGACAAAAAGAGCAGUGAAUUAGAAGGAAUUUCUUCACAGAAAGGGGGAUUAGACACUGGAAUGGGCUAACUGCGAAGGUGAUGGAGUCACCAUCCCUGGAAGUGUUUAUGGAAAGACUGGGCACGCCAUGGUCUCAUUGAGAUGGUGAUGCUCAGUCAUAGGUUGGACUUGAUGAGCUCAGAAGCCUUUUCCAACCUCACUGAUUUUGUGAUUCUGCAAAUGCUUGUGAUGAGAGGGUAAGAAUAGUCUGCAUGGACUAAUCUUCUCUAAAGAUUAUUCUGUGCCUUUGAUUUGUUUUGGCUAAGGACCCCCUGAGUUAAAUACUCUAUCAAUGAAGUUAACCGCUAUUAUUUUAUCUGAUAUAUAUAUUUUUUUUUCAUACCUUAAUUGACACAGUAUUCUGACCUUCAUAGGAAGGUUCUUGUUUCCUCCCCUUCUCAGGGACUAGUUGAGGCUGAGUAUCCUGUAGCUCUCCAGAUUCUCCUUAUUGCCCUUCUUGAAUACAUGAGUGGUAUUUUUUUUCUUCUAUAUCUCAAGAAUGUUCCCAGAUCAAGAACAGUUUCAAAACUAUUCUUGAAUCGUUGAGAGCGGCCUUACAAUCACAUUGACCUACUUAAAACUCAGUGAAGUUGGAGAGGAUUUCACCUGCCUGUGGUCUGUGGAUGAGUAGCUGAUGAAUGUGUUCUGGCAGCAGAAUUUUAAAAGGAUACCAUUCAAAAGCAUAGCUGAUACCAGAUCUUUAGAUCUUUGGAGAGCAUUUCCCCCCCCCCCCCCCAGAAUAUUGGUUAAACUACUGUAAAUACUUCCUCUAUCUCCCUCCUUCUAGCUUACCUCUUUUUCUGGGUUUUUUUGGGGUUUUUUGUUUGGGUUUUUUUUUUUUUUUUGUUUUUUUUUUUUUUUUGCAACAGAUGAAAAAGAAACUCUGUGGGUCAAAUGGAGAGCUUUUCAGUGGGGAAAGGUACAACUAAAAACCAGGAUGCUCAGGAAUGGUCAGCAAGUCAUUCAAUUCCUUAAUUCCUUCUUGGAGACUUUCUAGAGGUGAUCAGGCUUUAUUAGCUCACACACAGUACCCAGACAUGUGAGCACUUCUAAUAGAAAUUAAUCUGGUUUACUUGGUGAUGGCGAGGGCAAGGAGUGUUUACAGUGGCUUGUCUAAACAUGGGAGUUAUUGGAGAAUGGUAUCUCAGGGCAGGGCUGAUCUUCCACAACUGAGCCAUGUGUCUAACCAAUUCCCAAGACCUCAUUCUCUCAGAAGGUAAUGUAAGAAAUGCUGUUUCCCAAGAUUUUGCACAAUAUUGUUAAAUACAGAGUGACUGACUAUUGUGCUUCCUUUGCCAUCACCAAGAAAGAAAAAUGCCAGAAAAAGGAGGGAGAAGCUGAGGAAAUCAGGGCCUGGGACUUUUUCUAUGGAGGUGGAAAACUUCUACUACUUGAUAGCAUUAUUCCACUGAGUGGUUUUGUUGCACUGUCACAAAUUACAGCUGCACUGUGGGGAUUUUCUCUGAAGGAAUCUGUGAUCUCUGAGCAAAAAUUUUCCCUUUCCAUGCUGAUUUUUAGCAUGUAGUAUAAACUACACCCUUACUGUACAGUCACAGGAUCUUAAUACUUUCACCUUUUAUUUUUUUUCCUUCCUUCAACAGCUGCUGACUGGUUUUGGUUUUCAUACUACUUGUAACACUUCUGAUGUGAUGCUCCAGGCUUGCUCAGAGAUGUACUGAGAAAACAAGAUCAUUUUAGUGCUAUAUCUCUACUUACAUAGACAGGUUGUGGAGCAAAACUUUAUAACAGACGUUUUUUAAAGCCACUGGAGAUUGGUCUUCUACUUUCUUUUUUAUGGCUUCAAGCUUAAUUUGAAAAAAUAGAAUUAAUGAGUCUUAAAACAUGAAUUUAACAAAACCCAAAUUCAGAUAAAAGGGAAUCACCUUUCAAGAUUUCUUAGCUUGCAAACCAACCUGAUUCAGUCUGAGACUGUGUACUGAAAUGGAUAUACUAUGGUCUUAUUUUCUUCUCAAUAGUUUCCCUCUCACUCUUUUUUGUCUUUCUUGUCUUCCAUAUGGGAGGAAGACAAAAAAUGAGGAGUUUAUUGCAUGGCAGCAGGGCAAUCUAAGAUUGGCCAUUCAGCUUUUUGUGGCCUGGAGUUUCUCCAUUAGAAUCAGAUGAUGCUGGGCAUGCUUUGGGUUACUUACUAGAGAAGCGGUGGUGCAAGACCCUGCAUCCACUAACAGAAGCUCAGACACCAGAGCUGCAUUUCCCAAUUUCUCUGUUUUCUUGCAGAUCAAAGAGCUACUGUGUUUUUUUCAGUGCAGUCUGUGCAGUUGAUUUAUAUUUAUACAGCCCUGGUUCCAAUAGUGUUAUCACCUCAAUUGUCAGUUAAUUUUUCUGUGUACAUAUACUAUAUGGGACAAGAUUGAUGUAUUCAUGUUAAUCUAAGAGUAAACCAUGACCCAUUUUAUUUGCAGCGUGGUUAACUGUGGUAUUCAUGGCAGCUCCCCUGAAUAUUUUUUAUGAGGUCUUUAAGUAUGUGUAAUACCGAAAACACAUUCCCAUUCAGUAGGUCUCAUGUAAGACGUUAAGCCCAACAGGGCAAACAGGUCCUAGAAAAAUUCCAUAAACAUUAAGCAUAUUUAUGUCAUAGCAUUAAGCUUGGUCAAUUUGAACAUUACUAUAUUGUGGUAUAAGAGGCAUCUUGUUUGCUUUUAUUUACCUUCUCACUAGUAAAUGUAUUUUGGUUAACCACAAUGGCAAGGCCAGGCAAAACAUUUGUGUCAACAGAUCCUUCUUCUCAACAAAGUAACAUUCUUAGUUUCUAGGGCAGCAGACUGGAUUCUGAGUAAUAAGGUCUUUAUAAGACUUGUUGUAAAUCUGAAACCAUAAACAUGUCUACUUUUCUAUUAAACCUGCUGCUGUGUUUGAGGCACAAUAAGUUCUCUUUUAUAUUUGAUGGUAGCAAGCAUGUUGGUUUUCCAGUUUUGAUUGCUGUUGAUUUAACAUUUGCCAGCACCUCCUGCCAAGCUGUUGACCUAAGUCAUGGUCCCUGGUGAUGCCAUUAACAGAGAAUUUAAUAGUUGAUGGUACCUGCUGGUAAGAACAAUGUUUUAUACAUCCCCUGUUUUGUUUCAGACAUGUUUGGGAGCAGUAGCAAGGAACUGUUUCUUUCCACACCUGACCUCUAACUGGUUGCUUUUUGAAAAUAGAUUCAACAAAGAUUUUUGCCUGGUGAAAUUUUGAUUGGGGCAUUUAUUUGGUUUUUUAUAAUACAGUGUUUUAAAUACAAUUUGAACACCACUAACAAUGAAAAUGAUUUCUGAAACAUCUCUUUCACUCUUCAGCUGCUGCAGGGUACUUCCCUCCUACUGAGGACAACAGAGUUGUUCCCUUGAGCGAAGUCUAUUCACGUUUGCAAAAUCAACAGGCCCAGUGCCCUUGCUGUAUUCAUUUCCUGUGGAUGUAUUAGAAGUUGUAUAGUGAAUUAUUUCUUCUAAAUGUAUAAAAUAGCUGUGCCUCAUUUAUUAAGCUGUGCAGAAUGAUAUAAGAUCACACCCGUGACUGUUUGGUGUGCUCCUGUAGGUUUCACGGGCUUCUGGAAGCUGCAGAAAACUGCUCAGCUGGAAGCAGUGCUUAGGAUCCAGGUCCAUAUUGAAAUGAAAGUCAUAUAUGCACUUUCAUAUUCAAAGUAUACUGUAACAGUUAAAUUAGAAACAGGAAGGAAGCUUAAUAUUGCUUAUUAUUCCUCUAUUAUUUCUAGCUCUAAUAUUCCUCUAUUAUUUCUAUCCUCACCUCAAUGCCAACAUUCAGGACACAAAUUAGUGUGUUUAUUUAAAGGCACCAUCACCUGACACAACAAACAGAAUUUUGCUAUUCCAACAUGUUAAGGUUGGAACUGAUCCAAAUUCCUUAAUCUCUGUGGACAGCUGCAACUGCAAAACCAAAACUUAGUGUGUCCUGGGGAGGCCUCACAUUUUCUUGAGUAUUUUGCUAGAACUAAAUCAAGGAGUAACACAUUCCAUCUAAACCGUAGUUAAGUGCCUCCAUGGUGCUUGGAAAAUAUGCCUGCAUUCCCAAACUCCUGGCUAUUUUUCCAGUUUCUGAAUAAUCAGUUUGCAUACUAUUUCUCAUGCAUCAGGUUUCAGAGUUUCCCUAAACAGUCUAAAUGUGGUCGUGUGACAAUUUUAAGGUCUCACUUUCACACAAGACAUCUACUUAUAAACACUUGAUGAAAAGAGUAGAAGGCCAAGUGAGAGAAAUUAUCCUUGGAAACAAACAGAACAAAACAUUAAGAGAAGAACCCUGACUGAAUGUACCAUCUUCUUAAAUUUUGAACUACACUCUCUAAAUAAAUAUGAAUACUCAAAAGGUUUAAUGAAUGUAUAUUGUGUGUUCAUAUGCAUAUAUAAAUGUGUAUGCAUAUACAUAAAUGUAUAAUAUAUGUAUAUCUCACCUCCUGUUCUUUGAAAUGUUCCUGAAUCUUAAUGUAAACUUGAGGUCUUUGUGGAGAUCCAUUCUAAAUGGUCACUAUAGUCUGACAGGUUUCACAGGGGAAGCUUCCCAGCAAAGGACAGGAAAAGAGCAUAUCCUUGGUGAAAUUCAUCGGCUUCUGACUAUUUUGCAGGAAUUGCAGGAACUGUAGCUUUUUGUGGCAGCUUGGAAAGGUCCCUUGCUUGAAGGGCACAUGAAUUUCAGGCCUUUGACUGAAAGUUUAAAAUAGGAUUUAACAACAAAGCUCUCUGCUGUUACACCUGUCUCACAUCCUUCUCUUCUAGAUCAGGAACCUGGAUGCUUUUACUAAACUGAAAUUGUUUAGGAUCAUAUGGAGUUUUCAUGCCAAAAUCUAAUUCUAUCUUCCAAAAGACAACCUUUGUGUGUCAAGGAUCUGUAUAAAUCGUGUCUGAGCUAAUCCUGCAGAACCAAGGUCAGGAAACUUAUCUGGAUGGUCCUUCCUUCCUAUUUAUAAGUGAAGGACAGAGUAUCCAUCUGCCCCAGCACUGGCAGAUUGGACUGCAAAGUAUUCUCUGCUUUCAGAUUUGGGGAGACAGCAGUUCAAAGAUAUGAUGGAAAAAUGACGGAUACUAAAAUACGCUAAGAAAGAAUCAUUAAAAACACAUACAAAUAGAAUAAAGGAAGUUUUGCAGUCAAAACUAAUGCUUUUUCUUCCUCUUCAGCUAUAUUUGUACUUUUCUUCUUCACUGUAGGCCUUAAAAGUACCAAGGUCAUCUUUUAAGGGCACUUUCCCUUCAAAGGUUUCUCCUUUUGUCCUCAUUUGGCAGGGCGCUGUGAGAGGAGGGACAGAUUCUGCAUUGCAAAUGUGGCCAGCCCAGUAUUCUGUAACUGAGUUCAGCUAUUGGGGUUGCAAUUCAAAGAACCACAGACAAAUUCAGCUCUGGAGCUGAUAAAAAAUUUCAUAUGCUAUUCCAAGGUAUGUUAAGGAACCUAUCGUAAACCUGUGAAACAGCCAUAUAUCUUGUAAGAAAGCUUUUUUUAAUCUCCAAGAUGUCCAAUAAUUGUUCCUAGAUGGUUAGAUUUGUGCAUAAAGAAUGGCCAUAUGCUUUCAAUUAGCAUUAUUUUGAUUUUAGUUUAAAACAUCAAACUAAAGUUUCCUGAAAAACCACAUCUGUACUUCUUUAUCUUUAGUGAACUCUGCAAGAAAGUGGGUGUCUCAGCCUUUUCCUUGUUUAAAUUAGAAAAAUAAUAGAAAAAAUCCAAAAGCUUAAAUAUUUGUUUUGACUUUGCAGAUUAAAUGAGAAGAAAUUUCAGGCUACAGUUAUCCACCUUCCUGAACUCAUGCAUUCUACCUCAUUCAAACUCUACAGUGUAGAUCUUAAAAACAGGAAAGAAAUUAGUUUUCUGGAAGUUGUGCCAGCCAUUUUUUCCAGCUAUUUAAAGGAGGUCCUUUGGAUUUACGUUUUGUACCCUCAGGGUGCUCAGUCACAUUGAACAAAGGUUGCUGUGAAUUUGAAGGAAUAUCAAGAUGAAGAAUUUCACCUCAUGUGACUGAGACACUUCCAGAGCCAUGAUGUUAGAAUUGGAGUCAAGCCUGUUCAGCAGAAGCAUUUUAAAAAUUACAUUUUAUGAUGGGCAGUGGACAUUAUGAGAGCUGGCAGAAAGACAGAGACAGACGUAGGAACAGCAGUAUCUGAGAAGAACUUUUGGCAAUGAGCCCAUACCCAGAGCCAGGCACUGGGGGAUGCUCCAGAAGGGAUGAUUACAUGGAAAAGCUGAGAAGCCAUGCAAAGGAAAGCACGGCAUGGAUAUCCAUGAAAAAGACUGGAGCAUUCUGUCCUGUUAUCUCAGGUGGGAUAUCUGCCCAAACAUAACAGCUCUGAGCAUUCUAGUGAGCAAGAUACACAUCAGGCAGUAAUCCAGGUUUCCUUGGGAGAUGGAGAGAAAAGGGCAGUUUACUGGUGUCCAUGUAAGCUGGACAACCAGCUCUCGUGAGUGCCAGUUUCUGUGUGUUGGAUAAGAAGGGAACACAGCCAGCCAGCUGAGAUCACAGAGCUUUCACUGGAUGUGGUGAAACUUAACUUCACAUCUAAUAAAGCUGGGCUGGUGUUUCAAAGGGACAGCAAAUGCUGUUCUGGGUAUGUUGUGAUCAUAAGCGUGGGAAGCAGUAGCAGUGCCCAGUGUCUGUCCGUGUAUGCAAGAAAACAAAUGUAGAACAGUCAGACAUUGAGGGAAUUAGAGAAAUUAAAUGGCUUUUCUGAAGGAAUGAUUACAUUUAAUGCUUCCCAAAUGUCUAGAAAUGCCUUAAAUUCUCUAGAAAGAGGAAAUAAAAGACACUGUCACUAAAAAAUUUACAAGCACUCCAUGUUUCUGUCUUCUCUGACAUGCUGGGCAGUCUAUGACCUGGUAGUGCAACCCCCCUGGAUAUAUGGAGUUGCACACUUUUACUUCAUACCAUUCACCUUUUCUGUUAGUUACUGAAGGAUGAAAGGGAUGAACUUCUAUUACACGUAGUCACUGUUCCUAUGGCAAUUCUCUUAACACUCAUGUGCAUAGCACAUUAGGAUAUUUUCUUCUUUUUUAGCCUUCUAGUUCAGGAGACAGUGCCUGUUGUUGCUAGUGGGAUGCUAUACAAAUGCAGCAUGAAUGACUGUAAAUUUCUUUAACAUUCAAUACAACAGCCUUCUGCUCUGCCUCACAGCUUACUAUUUUCUGAAACCCACUGGCAGCCUGGGUUUUUUAGUCUAUGACUACACUGCGCAUAAAGAGUUUGCAUCCUUCUACCUGGGUGUUUGUGCUCUAUCUAGAUACACAGCAAUCCCACAGAAUAAACACAGCAUUUUCUUUCAUCUGUGCUCUCUCUGCCAUUAAAAACAUUACCAUCUUUCUAAAAGAUUAACCUCAGGCCACUAAAUAUUUCACACAGUCCUCAUUGCCCUUCCAUUGGGAAGAUUUGUCACAUCCACACUCUGCAGUUACAGAUAACAGUGACUGUCGGGUUGAACUAGAAAAAGUAGUAAAUACAUUGGAUUUCUUGCAGAAACAUCAGUUCACAUCAGUGCUUUUCAGCAGUUGCUACUGUAGCAAAAACAACAACAGCCAGCAAGCAAAUUAAAAGUAGUCUUACCUCAGUAUGGCACAUUGGGAACCUGUUUCCUUGCUCUUCUAGCUGCUGGCCCCAUUCUCCUCAGGCAGCACUGACUCACUGGACCAGUGAAUAUCUUCUGGCCUUUCUAGAGCAAAAAACAUAAACUAAAAAAUAUUUGUCAGACGUGUGUACAGUGAUUCCAAAUUCUUCUGCUGUAUUCUAAAAAUGAAUGCCAAGUGAUCCAAGUGAAACAGAUAUCUGAUUUGCUUCUCCUCCUGUGCUUCUGUCCAGGUGUAAAGCUGGGUCUAAGACACAGAGACAUAUAUUUUGGUCCUUGCAUGCACAUUGUUAUCUUGUAAGUGAGAAUUCUCUUUGGUGCUCAAUGUUUAGUUUUCCUCACUUGCUUUUAACUUCUUUUAGCAGACUGAUUUUCAAGUGUGCAAAGACUUUUGGGCUAAGCAAUAUGGGUGCAGUAAAUAUUUUAAUAACCCUCUGUGCCCUUUUGAAUAUUUGGGCUCCAUCAGCUAAUAUAUUUGACUUCUUUAGCUGAGCUGUUUGAACUCAAUGAUGAUAACAUUAUGGGUUUAAGAAAAGAAAAUUUCAAAGUAAAAGCACUGAGAUUAGCCAUCAUCCAUCAAACAGAUAGAUAAAUAUUUGCUGAAUAUGAAUAUUUGAAAUGCAAAACUAAAAAUAACACAGCAUUGGGGUGUAGUGUAAUAACCAUGCAAGAAUAUUAAAGCCAGAAUUUAUGAAAAAGAAAAAUUACAAACUAUACAGCAACACAGGAAAAUAAAAAAGGUAAACACAGUAAAUAGUGUCGAAACUACAGCUCUCCUUUAUCUUUAGGAGUUUCUGUCCUGUCCUACUCUACCACUGAAUCUGUACUUGGCUUUCUUCCACACAGUGCUUUGAAGUCUGCAUUGAUUCAGGAUAGUCCCUUACAAACUACCACAGAAAAUGUAUAAGAGUAUUGCAUUCAUUCUUAAGUCCUUCUCCUCCCUCCCCUGUAGCAUUAAGAACUGCAGAAUGCAAGUAACUGAGUAAACACUGAUAAAACAAACCACUACUGCUUCAAGUGGCUGUUAGGAGAAUCAGAAAUACCUCGCUGAGCAGCUCAUCACUGGCUGGAUGUGUGGGUUUGACUGUUCCUCUCCACUCCUAUUAUUUGUUACAGCCCUUUCACAUCCUAUUUUAAUAAACCCUGUAAGUUCUCUUAUGGGGCAGGGAACAUACCUUCCCCUGUGCAGUAAUGGUAUGUUGUUUUUGCGCCUCUUUCAUCCCUCCCUUUCUAAUGGGAACUGAAGGCAUGAAGAUAUUUCCUGAACCCAGCUCUGUGCCAGUGCUAGCUUGACUUUGAAUCAGUUGUAGUUAGUUAUUGGCAAACAAAUAUCAAAACUAAAGGCUAACCUCAAGCAAAUGAAGCAUCUGCAUUCCACUGGCGCAUGUGCACACCUUGGUUCUGCAAUACUGCAAAUCAGAUCUGCCUCGGGUUACUGGAGGACAAGAUACACUGAUCUCUAGAUAAAUUAGCUCUGCUGAGCUGUGCUCCCUGCAGCUACAGUGCUGCUGUUAUCUCUGUCCUUAUUUCUACUGCAAACAAGCAGAAACUUACCUAAAAGCCAGAAAGGGUUAUCCAGCCAGAUCUCCCAGAAGGCAGAAAUCAUAGAAUUAAAGAGUAAUUUCAGCUCUAAGGCUGGAAGAAACCUCAGGAGGUCACCUUGUGCAACCCCCUGUUCAAAGGGGACCAGUUUAGAUUAAGUUGCACAAGCCUUCAAGAAUUAAUUUCCAUGUCAGUGGAAAUUAAUUGACUUCAACAAAUUCUGGGAAUUUCUACUAUGAAUCCACAAAUCUUUCUGUAACCAGCUGCCACCAAAGAUGUUUUUCUUGUUGGUUUUAGUUUGGUUUGUUUUUUUUCCCUAAGACUAAUUUUUAGCCUUUAUUUGUCUAGCUUUAUCACCCUCUCUUUUAACUCUGAUUUCUUGUUUUGAUGCUGCCUGGCAAAGGCUGUCAUCACAUAACCCUUUGAAUCAGACUGAGCUUCAUGAAUUUGUUAAUGUAUGAUGUUUUUCAUGUUCCAAUUUCUUGUGCAACCCUGCUCUGAGCUUUCUCUAAUUUAUCAACACAUGGAUUACAAAAAGAACUGCCUAGAUAACAAGAUCAACUGUCCAGGCUUGGGCAAGAGAGCUGGACAGAAUUUUCAUAGUUGUAGCACCAAAUGCAGAGCUAAUGUAUGCCUUUUCUCUCUAGCAUUCCCUUUUAUAUUUAUCCAAGGGUUUCAAUAGCAGUUUUGGAAAUGGCAUCAUGAUGGUAGUUCCUAUCCAAGUUACCUGCCUGCCAUGAACCCAAAUUUAUUCUUCCCCAGGAGGGCCAUCCACCUGCUACAAGAACAUUUCUAGGCAUAAGACUGCCCAUUUAGCGAUAUUGAUCCAGUGAUUCCAUGAAUUUGUUUGUGACUUCCUUGUGAAAUUAUGAAAUUAUACUAGGCAGUUCAUUCAUUACAUUAUUUAAAUAUUUUUUGUGGCAUAUGCAAAAUUGGUCAGCAGAGAUUUCAUGUUUUUCUCAGACUAUAAAAUUUGAUAAUUAUCUCAGCAUCAGAAAAGGGCUUUUAGAGUAUCACUAAACAGCAGACCAUUGAUGAUUCUCAAUUUGCAUCUAUAUUUCAAGAACUAAUAUUUGCUGGUAUUUUAUUUAGUAUUUGCAAUAUUGGUAUUUUAAUUUUUAUCUUUCCUUAAUCAAAAUGCCAGCAGGUGGUAGAUUAAAUGUUUUAAAAACUCUGAACUGUAUUGCACUCAGCUUAAUUUGGUGGUCACGUGUAAAUGUCAGAGCUGGGGCUACACAUGUGACAGAACUGUCUCUCCACAAACUACCAGUGUGAACUUUCCUUUGAAAACCUGAUAAGAAGAGAGUUUUGUCCCCGAGAAUUUUUCAGUUGCUCAUGAUAGAAGCCCUAAAAAUGACAUGUACAAUUAUUCUCCAGUUAUGACUUUCCACAUGGACUGCAUUCUUGCACAAAUAUUAAAAGCUGUACACAUUUGAAAUACACUGAGGUAUUUCACUGCUUCUAAAGAAGGAAAGAAGAUAAUUUAAAUUUUUUUUUUUUUUGGUGUUUGUUUGAUGUUUUCCUUAAAAGUUUAUCUUAAAUGAAGGAAGGGAAAUAUUUACAAUUUCAAUGGAACAAUGGCCUGGAACUAAGGAAGGGAAAGUUUAGGUUAGGCUGUAGUAAGAAGUUCUUAACUCAAAUAGCCUCAGACUCCGAAAGAAGUUUUUUGAGCCAGCAUCAUGGAAGAUUUCCAUUAACUGCAGGUGAGACACUCUGGAGAAAUACUUUAUAAAGAACAAAAUCUGGCGAAAGUUGGAUACUAGACAAUCAUCACCUUUUAAUAUAAUCUUUCUUUCUUUAUAAUUCUUUAUCUAUAAUUUUAUUAGUGACACAAAGGAGAGUAAAAUUUAAAGCAAAUCUUAAAACCUGAUAUGCUUAGGAGGAAUAUCCACCACAGCGCAGAUCCUACUGACAAUGACAGCUCAGCAAAAAAAUCCAGAUUCAGUUUUUUAUUUGUUAUGUUCACAACUAAAGAGGAACAUUCAGGUACUGGAUUGUUGAAAAUCUCACCCAUGCAGUACAGCCCCUUCAGAGUGCCCUAAGGAUACAUUGCCCUUUAGAACUGCCAGAGCACCAAAGAUUAAACAAAAGUGUAGGGUGAGAUUAAAGUGACACUUUCUGUGAUUUUUUGAAAAAGAAAAGAGGCAGUACCAGACAAGCCAGGAGUUCUCACUUGACUCUUUCUAAUUCUCUGCAAAAAACAUCUAAGUGAGAAGUUUAAUUCACUUCAGUACUUAGUUCUUUUACCUAUUUAAAGAUGUAAGGGAAGUUUAUUUAACAAAAUAAUCAAGUUUCCUUUUAAAUCAGAAUUUAAAUAUGGUUUGUUGCAUGAAACUCAAUUUUCCUAGUUGUACCAUAUACAAUAAGCUGGGGGCUAGAUAGCACUUGUUCUGAAACAAAUCCAUUUUAUGUGGUGAAAAUGCUGCAGAUUUAUGCUAGAAGAAAAAUGUUACUUCUGCUCUGCUUAAUGAUAUCUGAAAUUAUCAAUUUCAGUAUCAUGAGCAUUCAUUUAGUCUUUUCUGUCACAUUCAUAUUUAAAUUGUUAAAUUUAAACAAUUUCUCUGGCAGUUCUCUGCCAGAGAAACAUCUGUCUGAGCUGAAGGGAAAAAAUUACACGUCAGAUAACUUUGAGGUAUUAAAUUAGUUUCUGAUUUUAGAAGACAAAGAGUAAUGAUAUUUGGCCUGCUACAUGCAGGAUCCAUUACACACAGUGUCAAAAGUACUUAUUCCUUGAAGCUGCAGUGUCUUGGACUGUGACACAUGUCCAGGAUUGAAGAAAGAGUAAAACUUGUCCCCCUAGUGUACUGUUGUUGUAAAAUAUUUAGCUCUCUAACCUGCUGGAGUUUGUCUAAGGGUUCAUUGUGACCUCUUCUGUAUCUUCAGUGUGUUUUUACUGACUGAGAACAAUUCCUGGGGAAGGAUAUGUCUCUUAAACAAUUUUCUUAUGACUCUAGGUUUCUGGGACGGAACAGAUUCCACCUGGGAAUAUAGUUCCUAUAGAAUGUAAGAUAAGAACUAGAUAAUAUUUUGCUUCUGUUUAUAAAAGCUUAUAAGAACUAUCUUGGCUUUUUUUCAUGCUAUUAACAUCUGGAUUUUUGUUAUAAAAUUUAAUUUUAAAUCUCUGUAUACAUAAGAAUUUUCCUUAUGUAUUUCUGAAUAGCAUUUCCAUUGCUUUGGAAUACUCAGUUAAAAAAAAGGUCAGAUGAGAUAGGCAAUAAUUACUGAAAUGAUUCAUUAAUCAAUAUUUUCUUCUGGGAAAUGGUUCUAAAAUAACUUAUAGUCAGUACUAAUCUGGUAUUAUUAUUGUAUUGGAGAUAAAUUGUUUAAAUUAUAUUUCUAGUAAAUUAUUAUGUUGUUCCCGGAGUAUCAAAGACAAUUUAGUUGUUUUAUGCAAAUGCAUAGAGCACAAUGCUGAAAAAUAUUCUUGACUAUUCACUGAGGAGCCUCACUAAACCUUUAAGGGAGGCUGUGAGGAAUAUGUAAAUGAGUGACUACCAAAUCAGAUGCAAAAUUGGAAAUUUACAAUAGGAUAUUUAGCCAAAGAAGAUUGACUAGAAUGGCUACAUGUGGCAUUAGUAUUGUAGAAAAUAUUUAGCAUUUAUUUGGAACAUAGUCUGUGAGUCUUUGUCUGGGAGCUGUUUGUGUAGGGGAUCGUGGAAGAAUCUACACUGAGAAACAGAUCCCUAUGAAUCUAAAGGGAGGGUAGAAGGGGUUUGUUCCCUCUCUGGCUGAGGUUGUUUGGCCUAGGAAGGGAGUGAUAAGGGGAAAUUGGAGUAUGUAUGCACAGUGUAAUACAGCAUCCUGGUGUGACAGCCAGCUCCUCACCCCUUCUUAGCAGCCACCUCAGACCACCCUGCUGCACCCACGGCCGCUACUUUGCACCUCAGCCAUAGGAGUCGUCUCCUGCAAAGUAUGAAGAAAAAAAGUUCUAGCCUAGACCAACAGGUCUCCCAUAUCCCCAAGCAGUCCAUCCACUAAGCUUAGGUAUAACUGAGCUGGGAAAACAUCACCUUCAUGUAUAUUUAGAAAACAUAUAGCUUUUUCAGGUAGAUUUUGGAAGAGAUGAGUCUUGACAGGCUCACCCUCAGACUGGUUCUUCAGCAAGGAGGUUGAAGAACACCUUGCUGGUAAAUCCCAGCAGGAUGAAGUCAUAAGUUAAACAGGAGCUUUUCACAACUGCCAUGCACAAAGGUACUUCCAGAUAUUUCUCCUGGAAGUCUUCCUACAGACUUCACAAUCUUACACAUGUUGUAGUAAAUUGGAAUUUUGUGGUUUGCCAUUUAGGCAUCUAAUCCUGUCACUUAAAGUCCUGAUUAAACCAACUAAAUCUUACUAUGAAUUUAACACAAUACUUAAAUACCCUGUGCAUGCUGUUGCAGUGAAGAAUCUCCUCUGCUUUUCACACACUGAGUUACUAUCAGUGUAUAUCCAUCUUUGUAUCAGGAUCAGGUGAUGGAAUUUAAGAAGAAUAGUAUAAAAUAAAGAACCUGAUGGGCCAGAGAUAUGUGUCUUGCCUAGAAAGGACAUCUACGGGGACGACUUUGAAAACAGGUAAUUUGCAGCCUUUCACUUAUUAUCUGUUAAUUGUAGUUUCAUAGUAGCAUUUAUUCAAGCAUAUCUUGAAUUAAAAUUAUCUAAAUCAACUGGCCACUUUCUGGUUGUUCUUUGUGUAUUCAGAGCAUUGGAAUGAGCAAAAAUCUAUACAUGUAGCACUUGAUAUUAUGGCAUAUAAAAGGUAUUUUCUCUGGGUCACAGAUAUAGAAAACUUAUUAAAUAAACAACAAGAAAAAUUGUA
Taeniopygia guttata (zebra finch) is the source of this 23991-nucleotide non-coding RNA. The record is from RefSeq and is a predicted model, not a curated record. Lineage: Eukaryota; Metazoa; Chordata; Aves; Passeriformes; Estrildidae.